UAUCCCUCAAUAUCGUUCGUUUGAGUGCACUCGUUUCGCAUAGAGAAAAAAGGAGGUUUUGCAUCUUGAGGUUUGUUUACCCUGUGACGUAGGUCGUCACAACCUGGCCAGCGAAAUCUGGAAUUCGAAGUUUGAAAAACGAACCAUAAUGUCCAAUUUUUUUGCUUCAAUCAACUCAUGAAAUAAUUUUAAGCACUUUUCAUAGAAUGACUUUUUUCCAUAAAUUACCCCAUUUCCGAGAAAAUUGAUGAUAAAAGUCGCUGUGACGACCUACGUCAUCAAAAAAUCCAAGAUGCCCGAAAUGCAAACACCUCCUUUUCUUUCUCUAUGCUCGUUUCGGCUGGUUUCGGCCUCCACUCCAUGGCUGCCGGUCAGCUAUGCGGUCAGCUGAUUAUCGAGUUGUCGUAACUCUGUGUAUAAAGGGACUCUAAAGUAAACAACCGUCAACUUAGCUGAACUUAGCUGAACUUAGCUGACGACACCUUUUUUUGUUCUAUUGCCGUUAGCUUUAGUAUUCUAUGCCCUGACCCCCUGACCUGGACCUGACACCAGAGACUAUACAUAGAAUAAUAUUAUCUAUGACUAUUAUGCCUGACAUCCUUGCUGACAUCCAGUGCUGUCUGCUUUGAUCAUGGUUGUAUCCAAACCAAUGCAUUGCAUUCAGGAUGUGUGUCAGAAGUUACUGAUUUCUUACUUUGAAAAUCUGCACACUCAUCCGUAUCGGACAAAAGCGUUCACCAGUCUAAUCAUAGCCCUGCUUGGUAAUUACUUGUCUCAGCGCAUAACCAGUGGAAAGCAGAUUGAUCAUAAUAGUCUCAUUGCCUAUGGAUUUUUGGGUAUGUUGCACUAGUCUGUAGAUUUAGCAUCUGGAUCAUGAAUUUUUUCCCCCUAAAUUUUGUUUGUGGUACCCACAACCCCUCCUCAAGUAUUGGCGUUGCAGGCAGCCAUGUGGAAAUCAUUUCUCAUUGGCUCCCAUUUUAGGCUUCAUGGAUGUCACUAACGGGUAGAAUAAUUACACUUUCAUCAGUUGCAACAAUUAUGAACUAGAAUGGACAAGGGAACAAGGGGCUUGCCUGGGAACGAACAGAAUGAGGGAUAGAAUUUUGGAAAAGAAGCUAAGAAGGAGUUAUUCAAAAAUUCAGAUAAACACCAUGAACUGUGUGGCUCUUCU
Molecule: long non-coding RNA, 1171 nt
Filed under: Bemisia tabaci
Lineage: Eukaryota; Metazoa; Arthropoda; Insecta; Hemiptera; Aleyrodidae
Description: lncRNA ENSSSA1NGG006702
Source: RNAcentral